Molecule: ribosomal RNA, 491 nt
Filed under: uncultured bacterium
Lineage: Bacteria
Description: bacterial SSU rRNA
Rfam family: Bacterial small subunit ribosomal RNA
Source: RNAcentral
AUUGAACGCUGGCGGCAUGCCUUACACAUGCAAGUCGAACGGCAGCACGGGGGCAACCCUGGUGGCGAGUGGCGAACGGGUGAGUAACGCAUCGGAAUGUACCCAGUAGUGGGGGAUAACUAGUCGAAAGAUUAGCUAAUACCGCAUACGCACUGAGGUGGAAAGCGGGGGAUCGCAAGACCUCGCGCUAUUGGAGCGGCCGAUGUCAGAUUAGGUAGUUGGUGGGGUAAAAGCCUACCAAGCCUUCGAUCUGUAGCUGGUCUGAGAGGACGACCAGCCACACUGGGACUGAGACACGGCCCAGACUCCUACGGGAGGCAGCAGUGGGGAAUUUUGGACAAUGGGGGCAACCCUGAUCCAGCCAUGCCGCGUGCGGGAAGAAGGCCUCGGUGUAACGCUUUGUCAGGAGAAACUCUGGCUAACACCUCGGGGGACGUGACGGUACCUCGAAGAAUAAGACACCGGCUAACUAACGUGCCAGCAGCCGCGGU